AUUGAACGCUGGCGGCAUGCCUAACACAUGCAAGUCGAACGCGAGUAGGGGCAACCUUACUUGUGUGGCGGACGGGUGCGUAAUACGUAGGAAUCUUCCCUAGAGCGGGGGAUAACCCGGGGAAACUCGGGCUAAUACCGCAUAAUCUCUACGGAGCAAAGGGGGGUCGCAAGACCUUUCACUUUAGGAUGAGCCUACGUCGGAUUAGCUUGUUGGUGAGGUAAAGGCUUACCAAGGCGACGAUCCGUAGCUGGUCUGAGAGGACGACCAGCCACACUGGGACAGAGACACGGCCCAGACUCCUACGGGAGGCAGAAGUGGGGAAUAUUGGACAAUGGGGGCAACCCUGAUCCAGCAAUGCCGCGUGUGUGAAGAAGGCCUUCGGGUUGUAAAGCACUUUCAGUGGGGAAGAAAUGCUAACGGUUAAUACCUGUUAGCUAUGACGUUACCCAAAGAAGAAGCACCGGCUAACUCUGUGCCAGCCGCCGCCGUAA
Molecule: ribosomal RNA, 494 nt
Filed under: uncultured bacterium
Lineage: Bacteria
Description: partial 16S ribosomal RNA
Rfam family: Bacterial small subunit ribosomal RNA
Source: RNAcentral